AGUGAAGUGAAGAAAGAAAAACAUGAUGUGUUUGACUACUUUUGGCCCAGCUAAAAUUAAUGACUUCGAUGUCCGCUCUUCCUAUCGUUGAGAAACAGAAUUAACCAAAUAUUGGAUUGUUCAUCCCCUCACAGGGAACACGAGCUGGGUUAAUUUGCUGUGAGAUGGGUUCGUUUUACCCCACCAAUGAUGAGUUAUCGCGAUUGCAAUCCUACUGAGUAUAAGAGAACCGCAGGUUCAGACAUUUGGUGUCUGUGCUUGGCUGAGGAGCCAAUGGUGCAAAGCCACCAUCUGUGGGAUUAUGACUGAAUGCCUGUAAAGGAGAAUUCCCCUUAAAAGAGGGUGAUUUAACGAGACAGGUUUAUUUAAGGGAAAUUGUAUUGAUGGAGCAAUAAAGGACAGAGCGCUGAAGUCACACAUUUGGGUGAUUGGCGGUUCAGAGCCUUUAUCUCUUUGCUGUUUGGUUGAGUGUGUUGAAACAUGUUAAACCAAGAGGUGAAACUGUUGGUGCACUUGUCAGUUUUGACAUUAAUGU
Molecule: ribosomal RNA, 535 nt
Organism: Lepisosteus oculatus (spotted gar)
Lineage: Eukaryota; Metazoa; Chordata; Actinopteri; Semionotiformes; Lepisosteidae
Rfam family: Eukaryotic large subunit ribosomal RNA
Source: Rfam